RNAcentral lists this transfer RNA (74 nucleotides) under Forpus passerinus (green-rumped parrotlet). Its description in RNAcentral is "tRNA-Leu". It matches the Rfam family "tRNA". Rfam says of the family: Transfer RNA (tRNA) molecules are approximately 80 nucleotides in length. Lineage: Eukaryota; Metazoa; Chordata; Aves; Psittaciformes; Psittacidae. The record is from RNAcentral.
GCUAGUGUAGCAGAGCCCGGCAAUGCAAAAGACUUAAACCCUUUACAUCAGAGGUUCAAAUCCUCUCCCUAGCU